UGGUUCUGGCAUCGAUGAAGAACGCAGCGAAAUGCGAUAAGUAAUGCGAAUUGCAGAAUUCAGUGAGUCAUCGAAUCUUUGAACGCACAUUGCGCCCUUUAGCAUUCUAGAGGGCAUGCCUGUUCGAGCGUCAUUAUCAACCCUCAAGCCUGGCUUGCCGUUGGACCUUAUGCCGUUACCAGGCAGGUCCCAAAGAUAGUGGCGGUGUCAAAUCGACCCUCGGUGCAACGAGCUUUAACCAGCACGCAUCUGAGUCGGACGUUUGACCCAGUCUAGUCAUCCAAUUUUUUCAAGGUUGACCUCGGAUCAGGUAGGAAUACCCGCUGA
Molecule: unclassified non-coding RNA, 327 nt
Filed under: uncultured fungus
Lineage: Eukaryota; Fungi
Description: partial contains 5.8S ribosomal RNA and internal transcribed spacer 2
Rfam family: 5.8S ribosomal RNA (bases 1-133)
Source: RNAcentral